GAGACAGUAGCGCAAGCGGCUGUGGAGUGUAUAGAAGUGAGAAUGCCGGAAUGAGUAGCGCGAAUGCAGUGAGAAUCUGCAUGGCCGAAAGCCUCAGGUUUCUGGAGGAAGGUUCGUCCGCUCCAGGUUAGUCGGGAGCUAAGGUGAGGCCUAACGGCGUAGCCGAUGCACAGACGGUAGAGAUUCCGUCACCACCAAAAGAGUUAAACACAGGGACACAUAUGAAGUCUCGGAGCCGGGUGUUGGUUCCGGUAGCGAUCGAGGGAAGUUAGUACCGAAGUCUGAGAUGGAAGAUGGCGAGAAAAGCUGUGUGUAUUUCUGCGGUGCCCGUACCGCAAACCGACACAGGUAGGUAGGAAGAAGAUUCUAAGGCCAACGGGAGAAGGGUUGUUAAGGAACUCGGCAAAUUGACCCCGUAACUUCGGGAGAAGGGGUGCUGCAGAGAUGCAGCCGCAGAGAAUCGGCCCAAGCAACUAUUUACCAAAAACACAGGUUUGUGCUAAAUCGAAAGAUGACGUAUACGAGCUGACGCCUGCCCGGUGCUGGAAGGUUAAGAGGAGAUGUGCAAGCAUUGAAUCGAAGCCCCAGUGAACGGCGGCCGUAACUAUAACGGUCCUAAGGUAGCGAAAUUCCUUGUCAGGUAAGUUCUGACCCGCAUGAAAGGCGUAAUGAUUUGGGCACUGUCUCAACAGCCCGCCCGGCGAAAUUGUAGUACCGGUGAAGAUGCCGGUUACCCGCGACAAGACGGAAAGACCCCAUGGAGCUUUACUGUAGCCUAAUAUUGGGUUUCGAUGUUGCAUGCACAGGAUAGAUGGGACUCUGGGAAACCGAUGCUUUGGCGUCGGCGGAGAGGCCGUUGGGAUACCAUCCUUGCGAUAUUGGAAUUCUAACCUGCGCCUUUGAAUCAAGGCGGGGGACAUUGUUAGGUGGGCAGUUUGACUGGGGCGGUCGCCUCCUAAAGAGUAACGGAGGCGUUCAAAGGUUCGCUCAGCUUGAACGGAAAUCAAGCAAAAGAGUGCAAACGCAGAAGCGAGCCUAACUGCGAGACUGACGGGUCGAGCAGUAACGAAAGUUGGAGUUAGUGAUCCGGUGGUAUGUGAGUGGAAGUGCCAUCGCUCAACGGAUAAAAGUUACCCUGGGGAUAACAGGCUGAUCUCCCCCAAGAGUCCACAUCGACGGGGAGGUUUGGCACCUCGAUGUCGGUUCAUCGCAUCCUGGGGCUGUAUUCGGUCCCAAGGGUUUGGCUGUUCGCCAAUUAAAGCGGUACGCGAGCUGGGUUCAGAACGUCGUGAGACAGUUCGGUCCCUAUCUGUCGUGGGCGCAGGAUAUUUGAUGGGAGCUGUUCCUAGUACGAGAGGACCGGAGCGGACGUACCUCUGGCGCACCAGUUGUUCUGCCAAGGGCAUAGCUGGGCAACUAUGUACGGAUCGGAUAAACGCUGAAAGCAUCUAAGCGUGAAGCCGACCCAAAGAUAAGAUAUCCCAUUGUUUCAAACAAGUAAGACCCCUUGAAGACUACAAGGUUGAUAGGCACGAUGUGUAAGUGGAGUGAUCCAUUCAGCAAGCGUGUACUAAUAGGUCGAGGGCUUGACC
Molecule: ribosomal RNA, 1592 nt
Filed under: metagenome
Description: bacterial LSU rRNA
Rfam family: Bacterial large subunit ribosomal RNA
Source: RNAcentral